This 494-nucleotide ribosomal RNA is filed under the name uncultured bacterium. RNAcentral describes it as "partial 16S ribosomal RNA". It matches the Rfam family "Bacterial small subunit ribosomal RNA", at positions 28 to 507 of the family's 1533-position model. The record is from RNAcentral.
GACGAACGCUGGCGGCGUGCUUAACACAUGCAAGUCGAACGGAAAGGCCUGCUUUGCCUUGUGGAUUGCGGGAACUCGAGUGUCGAACGGGUGAGUAACACGAGAGUGAUCUGACCCCAACUUGGGUAUAAGCCUGGGAACAUGGGUCUAAUUCCCGAUAGGACUGCAGGGCGGUGCCUGAGGGGGAAAACGAUAUUCUAGUGGUGGGGGAUGAGCUCGCGGCGUAUGAGCUUGUUGGUGGGGGAAUGGCGUCCCAAGGCGGCGACGGGUAGCCGGCCUGCGAGGGUGGACGGCGACAUUGAGACUGAGCUACGACCCAGACUCCUACGGGAGGCAGCAGUUGGGAAUAGUGGACGAUGUGCGGAAGCCUGCUGCAGCGACGCCGCGUGGAGGAUGACGGGCUUCGGGAUGGAAACUGCUUUCGACCACGAGGAAGCCACCUAGCUGGGAGGGUAGUGACGGUAGUGGUAGAAGAAGCACCGGCUAACUACGUG